GACGAACGCUGGCGGCGUGCUUAACACAUGCAAGUCGAACGGUAAGGCCCUUCGGGGUACACGAGUGGCGAACGGGUGAGUAACACGUGGGUGAUCUGCCCUGCACUUCGGGAUAAGCCUGGGAAACUGGGUCUAAUACCGGAUAGGACCACUGCCUGCAUGGGUGGUGGUGGAAAGCCUUUGCGGUGUGGGAUGGGCCCGCGGCCUAUCAGGUUGUUGGUGGGGUGAUGGCCUACCGAGGCGACGACGGGUAGCCGGCCUGAGAGGGUGACCGGCCACACUGGGACUGAGAUACGGCCCAGACUCCUACGGGAGGCAGCAGUGGGGAAUAUUGCACAAUGGGCGCAAGCCUGAUGCAGCGACGCCGCGUGAGGGAUGACGGCCUUCGGGUUGUAAACCUCUUUCAGCACCGACGAAGCGCAAGUGACGGUAGGUGCAGAAGAAGGACCGGCCAACUACGUGCCAGCAGCCGCGGUAA
This 478-nucleotide ribosomal RNA is filed under the name uncultured bacterium. Its description in RNAcentral is "partial 16S ribosomal RNA". It matches the Rfam family "Bacterial small subunit ribosomal RNA", at positions 28 to 523 of the family's 1533-position model. The record is from RNAcentral.